GUCCUACGGGGCGCAGCAGUGAGGAAUAUUGGUCAAUGGACGAGAGUCUGAACCAGCCAAGUCGCGUGUGGGAAUAAGGCCCUACGGGUCGUAAACCUCUUUUGCCGGGGAGCAAGGGCCGGGACGAGUCCCGGUCCGGAGAGUACCCGGAGAAAAAGCAUCGGCUAACUCCGUGCCAGCAGCCGCGGUAAUACGGAGGAUGCGAGCGUUAUCCGGAUUUAUUGGGUUUAAAGGGUGCGUAGGCGGGCUUUUAAGUCAGCGGUAAAAAUUCGGGGCUCAACCCCGUCCGGCCGUUGAAACUGGGG
RNAcentral lists this ribosomal RNA (305 nucleotides) under uncultured bacterium. RNAcentral describes it as "bacterial SSU rRNA". It matches the Rfam family "Bacterial small subunit ribosomal RNA", at positions 335 to 638 of the family's 1533-position model. The record is from RNAcentral.